UCCGCCGUAGUGUAAUCGGUUAGCACGGCACCCUUUGAAGGUGUUCGGUCCAGGUUCGAGUCCUGGCGGCGGAG
Molecule: transfer RNA, 74 nt
Filed under: Jiangella alba
Lineage: Bacteria; Bacillati; Actinomycetota; Actinomycetes; Jiangellales; Jiangellaceae
Description: tRNA_Gln_TTG
Rfam family: tRNA
About the family: Transfer RNA (tRNA) molecules are approximately 80 nucleotides in length. Their secondary structure includes four short double-helical elements and three loops (D, anti-codon, and T loops). Further hydrogen bonds mediate the characteristic L-shaped molecular structure. tRNAs have two regions of fundamental functional importance: the anti-codon, which is responsible for specific mRNA codon recognition, and the 3' end, to which the tRNAs corresponding amino acid is attached (by aminoacyl-tRNA synthetases). tRNAs cope with the degeneracy of the genetic code in two manners: having more than one tRNA (with a specific anti-codon) for a particular amino acid; and 'wobble' base-pairing, i.e. permitting non-standard base-pairing at the 3rd anti-codon position.
Source: RNAcentral